Molecule: ribosomal RNA, 253 nt
Filed under: uncultured bacterium
Lineage: Bacteria
Description: partial 16S ribosomal RNA
Rfam family: Bacterial small subunit ribosomal RNA
Source: RNAcentral
UACGAAGGGGGCUAGCGUUGUUCGGAAUCACUGGGCGUAAAGCGCACGUAGGCGGCUUUUUAAGUCAGGGGUGAAAUCCUGGAGCUCAACUCCAGAACUGCCUUUGAUACUGAGAGGCUUGAGUCCGGGAGAGGUGAGUGGAACUGCGAGUGUAGAGGUGAAAUUCGUAGAUAUUCGCAAGAACACCAGUGGCGAAGGCGGCUCACUGGCCCGAUACUGACGCUGAGGCACGAAAGCGUGGGGAGCAAACAGG